GUCCACGCCGUAAACGAUGGAUACUAGCUGUUGGGCGCAAGUUCAGUGGCUAAGCGAAAGUGAUAAGUAUCCCACCUGGGGAGUACGUUCGCAAGAAUGAAACUCAAAGGAAUUGACGGGGGCCCGCACAAGCGGUGGAGCAUGUGGUUUAAUUCGAUGAUACGCGAGGAACCUUACCAAGGCUUAAAUGUAGAUUGACCGGUUUUGGAAACAGACUUUUCGCAAGACAAUUUACAAGGUGCUGCAUGGUUGUCGU
RNAcentral lists this ribosomal RNA (256 nucleotides) under uncultured bacterium. RNAcentral's name for it is "partial 16S ribosomal RNA". It matches the Rfam family "Bacterial small subunit ribosomal RNA", at positions 793 to 1055 of the family's 1533-position model. The record is from RNAcentral.